This is a long non-coding RNA of Bos indicus x Bos taurus (hybrid cattle), 1025 nucleotides long. NCBI's taxonomy places the organism in Eukaryota, Metazoa, Chordata, Mammalia, Artiodactyla, Bovidae. The record is from Ensembl.
CACGUAGUGACUUCAGACAAUAACCUUUGACAUUCCUCACAGGUCUGUGGGUCAGAGGGUUCCCUUGCUGGUCUGGCAUGGGCUUGCUUGCACAUUGGGGCAGCUGGACCCCGGGGCAGGCGUGUGGCCUCUGAGUCUCAUGGGGUCCAGUGACCUGCUCCCCCAGCAGCAGCAGUGUUUCAGGAGGACACAUUCCAAUGUGUCACAGCCCAUGUGCUGGUGUCGUGCUGGCUGGGGCAAACCCAGGGGCACGUCCAGAGUCAAUAUAGGAGGGGCUGCCCUGCGCAGAUGGUGGGAAGGGUGACUCACCAGGACCUUUGCUGUCACAGUGCGUCUCACAGUCUGGCACAGAACUCUCCAGAACAUGGACAGCUUGCCCAGGGAAGCACAGCAUUGCACAGCAAUUUGUUCCCGUGUCCUGCGGUGGCUUGUUUCUGCCGACGUCGCCUGUGGAGUGUCUGGACAAGCCCUAGACGGGCAUAAACCACUGGUUCUGCCAUCCUGGGAUGAAAAAGGAUUGGGCGUCCUCUCUGUCACAUUCCUCUUGAAUCUGUGUCAACCACCUGGGCAACUGAAGUAUGCUUGGCGUCCACAGGAACCAAUCGAGCUGCAGCAGUGGCCUCCCAGCCACGAGUCAACAAGCGUGACUGUGAGCCAGUCACGGUGUGAGCGUCUGAUGUAGCACGCGCCUUCCAGGCCGGUCCUGGGCGCGAUGGCGAGUUUCCACCAAAAACUUGGAAAUUAGGAAAACUGCUACUCUAAGAGAUGAGACAUAGUCUACGGCCAUAGCAACCGCCCGAUCUCAUCCGAUCUCGGAAGCUAAGCAGGGUCGGGCCUGGUUAGUACUUGGAUGGGAGAGAUGAGACACAGAUACAUCAUUUGAAAGACAAGGAACCACCAGGCUGGCAGUAAGUUCACUGAGUAAAUGGUUAGCCCUGGGCUGUCCAAUACGGUGACCACAUGUGGCGGUUUAAGUCAACAUUAAUUAAAAGACAAAAUAAAAUUUAAAAAUCAGUUUCCUUUCA